GCAAGAUACCUUUCCUUCCUUUGACUGUAAAGGAGGUAGAAGAAACCGUGGCACUCUCCCUAUACCACGUUCCCAAAAAUGUAAACAAACAGGUAAAGAAGCAGCUGUCUGCAGUUGGUAGUUCUCUGAGCUAAAUAUCUCUGCAGCCCUUUCUCCCUUCCCUGAACUGUUUUGUUGUCAUAGUCAGAAAAGCCACAGGCUGAAAUCCAAAAGGGAGAGUAAAUAGGAAGGGCGACCAGGGGGCGCAUGCUGAGACUGGUGGCAUUUGAGUUGAAUGCCCAGCAGAAGCCAAACUGAAUACAGAGUCCCUGCUGGCGGAGCAUGCUUCACCCUGGAUACCAUCAAACUUAGACUCCAGGUUUUGGAAAAUAAAAAAGCUAACGUUUACUGUUGGAAAUACACGUUUGCUAGAAUAAGGAUCUUAGAUGGAGAUACAAUAAGCCAUGCUUGGAUCUCCCAAGUAUGUCUGCUAUCAUUAAGGAGGCCUGGAGAAGGAGGAAAGGAAGGUCAGCAACCCUAAGAUUAUCAGUCUAAUCUGAAGAUCAGCACGUCAGGUGAAGGAAGACAAGUCUAGGAAGCUUGGAGGUUUUUCUGGCUGGGGCUGAUAGAUGUUGAAUUCUCUUGUUUUUUUUUUAAAAAAUAAUAUUUAUUAAUUUUCCAACCGUUUAAACACAAAAAAAGGAAAAAAACAAAACAAAAACAAAAAAACAUAAGACUAACAGAACGAGACACAAAUCAUUUAAAACACAAAACAAUUUCAAUAUCUUAUCUUUCAUUCCCUUAUUUCCAUGACCUCCUCACACCUCCCUUUUUGUAUUCCACUUCUGUUAAUUGUUUCAGCAAUUCCUUUCCAUCUUCCUCUGUUUUCUAUCCUAUAAUUAUCUUAACAUAUUCUAACCUUAUUUUUCCCUUUAAUACUCUAUUAAUCUAUUUAUACUUGAUUCCUUAUAGCAUUUCUACUAAAGCCAUAUAACUUCAUUCCAACAUUUUUCUAACAUUCAUUAUUUUUACAGUAUUUCUAUAAAUAGUCUUAAACUUUUUCCAGUCUUCUUCCACCGACUCUUCUCCCUGGUCUCGGAUUUCUGCCAGUCAUUUCCGCCAAUUCCAUAUAGUCCAUCAACUUCAUCUGCCAUUCUUCCCGAAUAGAUAAGUCUUGUGUCUUCCAGUACUUCACAAUGAGUAUUCUUGCUGCUAUUGUUGCAUACGUGAAAAAAGUUCUAUCCUUCUUUAACACCAAUUGGCCGACCAUGCCCAGGAGGAAGGCCUCUGGUUUCUUCAAAAGGGUAUAUUUAAAUACCUUUUCAUUUCGUUAUGAAUCAUCUCCCAAAGUGUCUUAAUCCUUGGGCAUGUCCACCAAAGGUGAACUCUAAUCCUCAGAUUCGUCUGCUUUUCUUUAAGUUCAGUCAUAGCAAGCGUCAACUUAUGUUCAUCAAAUUGCCUCUGUAGGGCUGGGGCUCUCUUUCUCUUUCUCUCCAGUUGUGUUACUUUACAUUCAGCAACAACAGCUUUUUCCCUGGCUUCCUCCGCAGUUUGCCGUAUCAAAGUAGGUUCCUGUAUCAAUUUCUGGGUGGUUUCUGUAUUGGUAUUAUUUAUACUUUCUGUACUUUCUGUAUUUAAGUUAAUUUUAGUAAUUGAAACAUCCACUUUCGCAUUUAUCGUGUCCAUUUUCCUGUUAAGCUGAUCCAGUGAGUCAUUUAUCUUAUAUAAUGCAACCACUAAAGCCUCUUCUGUCGACAUUCCUCUUGGUUUUAAAUAUACUGGUACAAAGGCAGCGACAGAAGGAGCAGGGGGGCCUGAUGAUGGACCUCUCCUGGAUUAUUGCCAAGUCCUCCCAGACCUUAAUGUUUUGUCAGCAGUUGACUGGUCUGUUUUUCCUCUUCCAUUUACCAUAACACUUAAAAGAUUCAAGGUCAGUCCCAGAGUCUCACGGUUUUUAACUUGCAGCUGGAAAUUCCCCUAGCCCAGCUCUUGUAAAGCAACCGGUUUCAAAGGCUUCCACUAGGGGGAAACAGUUUCUAUUUGUAAUAGUCAAUAGUAUCCUCUUUUAAACAAUCCAAAAUUAGUUUCAAAUUAGUUUCAAUUUUCAGUUACUUUUACUCCUUUUUAAAGCAGCUGGAGACAGUAGAAACAAUGUAUUUCUCUUGUUUAACUAGCUGUCAAUAAACGUUCUAAACGCUGUCAAUGAACAUUCCAAAAGACGUCAGUCCUGCUAGCAGCCCGUUUCCAGGGUCAGAGCGGCGGUGUUUUAAAUCUCUUCGCUCUCUCCCACAGGCAUACUCAAUCCGCAACUUCCCCUCUCUUCUCCUGCCUCCAAGAGGGGUUUAAUGUUCUUUACCGAUGGAAAUUUAAUCUUUUACAAAAGGCUUUCCAGGACUCCAGCUUGCAACUUCAUUGCCUCAGUCUAUUUACAAAAGGGGAAGGCGGACUUCCUGUUUUGAACCUCCCUGUUACAGUACCAAAUUAAACAUUUAGAAAUACAAUUCUUCCGCUUCAGCUCUACUCACGGGUAAUUACUUUAAAGUCAAAUUGUCCACAGGAAAAGGUCAGCGCUCUCCGGCAACAGCUAUGCGGCUUCACUCCGUGGAAGAAGCAGAUGAUGCACCGCACCGCUCACCCCACGUCACUCUGGAGCCCCAAAAACCGGGGUUCCCCGUGAGUGGGGGAGGCGCAAAAGGUGCCCGCCGAAUCCCACGCUCACAGGCUUCUCCCGCCUGUGAUUUUAACGGGUCUCCGCCUUCGCCGUGGCGGCCAGACCCAGAUUCCCAUGGAGCAGAUUCCUCCCGGUCAGAGGAAUUACCGGAGGCACCUCCCCGGAAGUAGUCUAGAUGUUGAAUUCUCAACCCCUGAUUUACACACUGCAAGUUCAUACUAAGUGAACUAUCGUUUAACUGCCUGUCAUGUGUGUUAGGUUGUGGGCGAACAUAUCAGACGACACAGCGAUUCUUCCAAAGCAGCUCUUUAUUUGUAAGCUGGAACAGGACUGAACUGAGGAGCUCAGUCAGCCUGCUUAUAUAGAGCUCCACUAGAAUGCAACAGUAACCAUUUUCUGUAACUAGCCAAUCACUGAACAUCACUUUCGAUCCUUCAUUUGCAUACAAACUAUCCAAUCACUGAACGACACUUUCGAUCCUUCAUUUGCAUAACUAUCUACAGUAUCCCCCUGCUGGCCCAGGGUGAGAACUUCAGUACAUAACAAUGUGCUUCCUGUGACUCUGACAUCUCUUUGUUUUCCCUCCAUAGUUCAUACAGGGAUUUCUGGACUAUCAGAUUCCACAUUACGCAAUAUUAAAAAAAUGUAAGUGCAACAGUGACCAAAAAAAGGCUUCUAGUGAGAUAACUCCAAAUAUGCAAUUGCAGCCAGUCACAGCUCUUUGACUUGCAUACCUGACUGACAUACAUGUUGAUGUUUCUCAUAUUCACAUCUUAAAAGUAAUUUCACAUAACUAAAUAGCGAAGCCUCCUCAGAGACUUCUUCCCACUAUUAGAGAAAUACUAUGUUAUCUUCAGCUCUGUUGUCGUGAAUGAAUCACACCAGUAAUGAUGCCAAAAUGUAUAGUUUAUUGGUUCAGAAUAACUCCACAACUCCACAACUCAUAACACUUGUCCAUAAAGCCAGUGUGGUGUAGUAGUUAAGAGCGGUGGACCCAUAAUCUGGUGAACCGGGUUUGAUUCCCCGCUCCUCCACAUGCAGCUGCUGGGUGACCUUGGGCUAGUCACACUUGAAGUCUCGCAGCCCCACUCACCUCACAGAGUGUUUGUUGUGGGGAAGGAAGGGAAAAGGAGAUUGUUAGCCACUUGGAGACUCCUUAGGAUAGUGUUAAAGCGGGAUAUCAAAUCCAAACUCUCUCUCUCUAACUUGUUUCCAAACAGAGGGCCUUCUUGGUAGUGGCGCCCUCUCUUCAGAUGUGAAGGAAAUAAGCAGCUUUCCUAUCUUUAAAAGACAUCUGAAGGCGGAUUUGUUUAGGGAAGUUUUUAAUAUUUAAUAUUUAACACUCGAUUGGGAGCCGCCCAGAGUGGCUGGGGAAACUCAGCCAGAUGGGCGGGGUAUAAAUAAAUUAUUAUUAUUAUUACUAUUAUUAUUAUUAUUAUUAUCGUUAUCUUUAAGUCCUUCUCAGGAUGGAUUUUAAUUAAAUUUGAGGAAAAGCUACCCAUAUUCCCACCCACCAUCCCACUUACCUGCUUAGGGUGGUGGGGGCAUGGCAGGAAUGGAGGUCUCUCUCACACAAACCCUCACCUUUCUCUCUCCUCCCCUUUAAGUUCCACCACAGCAGGAGCAAAUCCAGCUUUGGUAGGGUCCUUAGGAUCUGAUUGGGAUGCUGCCCAGGGGCUGGAUCUAUACUAAUCUAAAAAAAAACGCUAAGAAUUUUUUUUUAUAUAGCUCUCAAUGCAAGCUUCCAUUGCAGGCUUCCUCAACCUCGGCCCUACAAAUGUUUUUGGCCUACAACUCCCAUGACCCCUAGCUAGCAGGACCAGUGGUCAGGGAUGACAGGAAUUGUAGUCUCAAAACAUCUGGAGGGCCGAGGUUGAGGAAGCCUGGUCCAUUGACUGCUGUGCAGCGCCCCCUGGUGUCACAUUUUUGUAAUGCAUUUAUAACAUUAUACGGUAACUCACAAAUAUAGAUUAGUCCAAAGUCCCUCUUACAGGCCUGUCUCUGGAGGUAAGCCACUUAGCUGCUCCACUGAGUCUCCUCAAAAUGCCCGCUGCCUCCACCUGACUAAUAAAGAGGAAUGGGACUCUCCUUUUACAAUACUACUCAGGUACAUCCACCCUGAUACAUGGGGUGAGAGACAUUUACCUGAGAACACACCCAGACCACAGCAAAAACAACUAUGUUUAAUAAUAAUAAUAAUAAAAUUUUAUUUAUAUCCUGCCCUCCUCAGCCGAAGCCGGGCUCAGAGCGGCUAACAACAGUAAAAAUAACACAGUUUACAUAAAAUCACAAUCAAUUAAUUGAAAUACAUUCUAAAAUCAAUUCAGAGUCAAAUUAAUGGCAACCAUUGGGCUAGAGUUCUAUGAGGAUUGCAGAAGGAGAGAGGGGGUCAGACUGUUCCCUGGCCAAAGGCCUGGUGGAACAGCUCUGUCUUGCAGGCCCUGAGGAAAGAUGUCAAGUCUAUAAGGGCUAUAACUUCUGGAUCCAGCAGCCACUAUAUACAGAGUCCUUCUAGUUUCCAGACAGCAGUACCAUCUCUUUUAGAUAUAUACUGUGCUUUCAUGUCUUCCUCAUACUCCUCCCUGCCCCACAAGCCUCUCUAUCCCCCACAGUCUGUCAUUUUCCAAUGGACUCUGUCUCUCUCUGCCUGUCACUCAAACUCCUCCCAACAUUCCAUUCUGCUGGCCCCUACUGUCCAUCAUUCUUCUAGCAGCUGUCCUGCCACAGGUGGUUUUCCAGAGUUCUGGCAUCAAGGACCCUGGAAAUCGCUGGCUUCUCAAUGUUCCCUGGCACCUUGACAGAGCCAGGUUUCUUCCAGGUGCUGGCGAAAGCGAGAGGAAGUGGUUACAGUGAGCCGCCCUGCGGCUUAACAUGGCAUGCGAACUAGGCCAAUGGAUGCAGUUAUCUCUGCAGUAUUUGUGGCACACCCUUUCUGAACAGCUUUAGAUGUUUUAAUAGACAUUUUAUUCGUUUUAUUUUGAAGUGUCAAUCAUAACGACAAUGAGAAUAAGGCAUAGCUGUCAAGCAUCCCUUAUUUGGCGGGACAGUCCCUUAUCCCAGCGCCAUGUCCCGCUGCUGUCCCUUAUUGAUGAUAUCCCUUAAAUAAGUUACUGAAGGUAAUGGGGCCCUUUCUAUGUCCAGCUGUCCUUUGUCAACAACAAAUUGUUGCUGUUUUUUGUGUUGAAUAUAUGCUAUAUGGUAAUUUAUGGACCUAAUAGGUAUCUAAAACCAUUUGCACGCAACAAAAUACAGUGGUGCCCCGCAAGACGAAUGCCUCGCAAGACGGAAAACCCGCUAGACGAAAGGGUUUUACGUUUUUGAGUUGCUUCGCAGGACGAAUUUCCCUAUGGGCUUGCUUCGCAAGACGAAAAUGUCUUGCGAGUCUUGAGAUUUUUUCCUGCUUCCCCCCCUUUUUUCUAAGCCGCUAAGCCGCUAAUAGCCUUUUAGCAGCUAAGCCGCUAAGCCUUUAAUAGCCGCUAAACCGCUAAUAGCGCUAAUCCGCUAAGCCGCUAAUAGGGUUGCUUCGCAAGACGAAAAAACCGCUAGACGAAGAGACUCGCGGAACGGAUUAAUUUCGUCUUGCGAGGCACCACUGUAUGUAUUUUAUCAAAGUAAUUGUUGAUCCCUUAUUUUGGCUGCUGAUCCCUUAUUUUCGAGGCUGCUGGUCCCUUAUUUUCAAAUCUGUAAGUUGACAGCUAUGGAAUAAGGACGAGGGUGCACUAGGUUGCGAAACAGGCACACACCUUAGGAAGCAAAGGGUUGUAUUCGGCUAAGAUAUAUUCAGAGCAGACCCACUGAAAUCAAUGAACCCGAAUUAGUCCAUUUCAAUGGGUCUGCUCUGAGUAGGACAAAUGUAAGAGGCAACCCAAAAAUGUGCAGAGCAAAAUGUGAUGACAGAAAGAAGUCUAAUUUUGCUUUUUUUUACUGGGAAAGGUUUGCUGGACUGUAUCUCUGAGGAGUCCAGGUACACCCUUCAUGACAACAUGAGCAAGUUCAAGGCUCCCACACAGAUUAUUUGGGGAAUGCACGACAAGGUUAGUGUGUGUGUGUGUGUGUGUGUGUGUGUGUGUGUGUGCACACGCACGCGCUCUGCUUUCUUUUGCUGUGCUAAUGGCUGGGUGCAGAUUAAGCCAACAAUCACUUUUAGUCCUAGCUGAUAUUCUGAAUUACUCCAUUGUUACUUUGAACUGUUCUGCGAACUGGUAUGCUCCUCAUUCAGAAAAGCAGCUAGUACAUUCCAUAAGCAGCUGAAAGGCAAAGUCCCCAGUCCUGGGGGAGAGAGAGGCUCUACAGGGUGGUACCCAGGUAUGGCGCAGGUGCUCAUUGGCACUGCUAUUGACACACAUUCCUUGAAUGCACGGAGACCCAGCUAUCACUUCCAGAAGGGGCCAGGGCUGGAAAACAAAAUUUGAGAUAUUGUACAAAGAAACACCCACCCACCUUGCGGCUAAAGCCAUGUAACAAAAAUGAGAGAACCACUCAUCAAUGGAAGUUUGUUGGUUCCAGAGGGUGUUGCUGUUGGGAGCUAGGGCAGAGAGAGAUGCUUAAGAAAAUGUCUGGCUGGUGGUGGUUUCAGCCUACCGAGCAGAGAUGCAGAAGUCACAUUAGAAGUUCUUGUAUGGGGGUUGCGGGUGUUGGGAUACUGCCAGGGAGACAUCAUCCAUCAAGGCCCCACGUCGAUUCCGGACGAUCCAUCGAUCUCCCGUAGACACGCAGUAUCAUUCAGUUAGCGACACGAGCCCCAGAAAUGGCUUCCCACAUUCCAGAGCUCUUGCACGCUCUAUCAGCAGAUAAUGCACAGCGAAAGAUGCACGCAGGAGAGCAUUAUUUACAAUUUUAUUCAGCGUUGGUCAGAACAAAGAAAACAUGACUGCCUGCUUCGGUGUCUCAGGCACAGAGAGAGAAACGAAAGCAUAGACACAACAGAAACAUCCUGUGAACAGGAAAUACGCAGACUCUGUGACUCACAAAGCCUGCUCCCUUUUAAGGUGGAACGGAAAUAUCCUAACAGCGGGUGGCACUGUGGUCUAAACCACUGAGCCUCUUGGGCUUACCAAUCAGAAGGUCAGCGGUUCAAAUCCCUGCAAUGGGGUGAGCUCCCGUUGCUCUGUCGCAGCUUCUGCCAAGGUAAAUGGCAUUUCCAUGCGUUCUGGUUUCCGUCACGGAGUCCCGUUGCACCAGAAGCAGUUCAGUAAUGCUGGCCACAUGACCCAGAAAGCUGUCUGUGGACAAACGUCGGCUCCCUUGGCUUGAAAGCGAGAUGAGUGCCGCAACCCCAUAGUCACCUUUGACUGGACUUAACCAUCCAGGGGUCAUUUACCUUUUACUUUGAUGUUCUUGUGUGCUUAAUCAGGGUACUUUUCUAUGUCAGAGGACAGCAUGUUCAGAUGCACAAGGAAGAGAGGCAGGAACUCAUCAAGUCUGACACUGGCACACAAUUCUUCUAUCGAUUACAGCCCCAUCCAGUUGUGCGCCUUGUUAUUACAGCAACCUUUCAUUAAACGCAGAUACAAUUGCAUAAGUUUGUCAUCAUGUGGCAGCGAGUCAGCCCAAUCAGCAUUUUGCUUAUAUCUUAAUCCCUUGUAUAAGUUCUUCCAACCCUGGUGCUCUCCAGAUGGUUAGGGCUACAGCUCCCAUCCACCCCAGCCAGAAUGCACCAUUGUAGUCCAAACCAUCAGGCUGGAGCCUGCUUUAUAUCUUCCUAUAUAAAGAAACAUGCAAGGCUGUCAUCACACAGUCCCCAUUGGAGGAUUUGUGGUGCUGCAACACAAUGCUGGGUUUGGCGUAGGGAAGCCAAAGAGAAUGUAGGCUGAACAACACCAGAGGCUACGGCAGGGGAGUGAGAUGGGGAAGUGGGUAUUUAAAGCAAGAGCUGAAGUUUGAAAGCAGUUUGAAAGCACACCAGUGCGAGUAGAAAAAUAGGUACUGCUGCGGCGGGAAGGUAGAUGGCAUUUCCAUGCACUCUGGUUUCCAUCAUGGUGUUCUGUUGCGCCAGAAGCAGUUCAGUAAUGCUGGCCACAUGACCCGGAAAGCUGUCUGUGGACAAACGUCGGCUCCCUUGGCCUAAAAGCGAGAUGAGCGCUGCAACCCCAAUGUGGUGGGAAUGGCAAGGGAUUAGCGAGCAGAGUGAGUAGGGACACAGCCUGUAGUUUUAAAAUAAAGAUCAUCUUUAUCGCCGCAGGAAUGCCUGGGAGCAACGCUAUGUCACUCUGUCCCAGGAAUGUGGCUUGGCUGCUGAGAACAAUGUGGGCACCAGACAUAAAUUUCUUUUCAUUUCUUUCAGAUCACUGAUCCUUCUGGAGGAGAAAUUUUAGCUGCCACCAUCCCCAACUCCCAACUGCAUAUGCUGGAGAAAUGUGGACACUUCAUGAUGAUGGACAGGCCCAAGAAAUCCGCCAAGCUCCUUGUGGAAUUCCACAAUUCAGUCUGUGGCAAGGUGGAGGCUAAGAAGUCAAUAUAACCCUCACUAAGGAGUCAAGCAGAUGGAGCAUUCGAAGCAACUUUCUUGCUCAAAUGGACACUGUGGGUGUCUGCCCUGGUCCCCCCCCUCGCUUAUUUGCUUUGCCAUAUAAUAUUUGGAAGCUGGGAUGACUGGCCUGGCCUCCCACAGCUUCUGACAGAGCUUGGAAUUUGUAUGUUCAGACUGACUUCUUCCUUUGUGCAAUUGUAACCUGCAGUAAGGCCAGGGGUAAGAGGGGUGAUGUAGAAAAAGAAUAGGGUUUGUCUUUUGCUGCCCCGCUCCCCAAGGGACUGAGUCCCCUAAGUCCAUGAUCGGUCAGAGAUGAAUGGAUGAAGGCAAGGAUCCAAAGAAAGGAAGGGAGAUCUAAACAGCUCUGUUUAGGGAAGCUUUUAAUAUUUGAUGAAUUAUUGUAUUUUAAUAUUUUGCUGGAAGCCGCCCAGAAUGGCUGGGGAAACCCAGCCAUAUGGGCGGGGUAUAAAUAAUAAAUUAUCGUUAUUAUUCUGUG
Non-coding RNA from Podarcis lilfordi (Lilford's wall lizard), 9615 nucleotides. The record is from the annotation of a GenBank genome assembly. Lineage: Eukaryota; Metazoa; Chordata; Lepidosauria; Squamata; Lacertidae.